UCUUUGAAAAAUAUGUAGGAUGCCUCUUCUUUGAUGUAUUGCAGCCGGUGUAUCGUAAGACCUGCAGACUCACUUCCCUAUGAAAGUAGUUUCGAAAAGUCGUUCAGAGAGUGGUUUCCAGGCCCUUGGGAAUGACAUGCUUCGACAGAGAUGUGAACGCCCUCCAUGUCUCUGUUCCGAGAAACCAAACCUGAUCAGAACCCAGGGUGAGGAUGACAGAAAACGGACCGCGUGACAAGCUAAGGCCCAAGCAUGGGCCAGCAGGGCAGUGAAUCAACACCGAGGGGUCUUCCUCAUUGAUCUGAGUCCCAGAGGAGCCUCUCCGCAAACGCCACUGGAUGCCCGGGCCUGCGCGGCUGCAUUCUACACCACCCGGCCCUGCCUGGUUUCAUCACCUCUCCCUGAGUGUUUGAUGAUGGUAACUUUGAUCUGAGCCCGAAACCCCAAAUCAAAGUGAUCGUUUGUUUAAUAUUUGUCACACAUCCGGAAAUUCUAAGACCCAAAACAGAACAGAAAGCACUAUAACAAGGAUUUUCCUUUCCAGCCAAUUAAGGUCAUUAAAGAACAGUGUCCCGAUUCAAAUAGUUGCCUAAGCUUAGAAUUAGUGAGUUUCCCCAGCAACAAGUUACAAAAAGAGUCCACCAAAUCAUGUCGGAGAACAGAGGGAAAAUAGAAACGUAGAAAUAAAAGUAUGAUUAAACAAUUCCUUUGACACCUACGUAAUUUAAUCUAAAUAGAAGGCAGAUCCCACAUGUGCAUCUAAGCAAGGACCUGAACUUUCGAGUUACUUGGAGGAACACAGGUUUCCCUCCGCUAUUCAAAAGCUGAGUGCUCCGCUGAAACCUUUCAUAAGCUGAAAGGGAAGAAAUAAUUAGCAUUAAUUUGCACGGAAAAUAAUGUGAGCAUUUCCAGACCCCCAAAUAAAAAGCCUGGGCUUUCCGGAUACCUUGGGACACAUCUUGCUAACGGACGCACAAGACAGAUCCAGAUAAAGCACAGGUGCUCCGUGACA
Molecule: long non-coding RNA, 1012 nt
Filed under: Canis lupus familiaris (dog)
Lineage: Eukaryota; Metazoa; Chordata; Mammalia; Carnivora; Canidae
Description: lncRNA (ENSCAFG00000057498.1, ENSCAFG00805023640.1)
Source: RNAcentral